RNAcentral lists this long non-coding RNA (5211 nucleotides) under Homo sapiens (human). RNAcentral's name for it is "non-protein coding lnc-MAP3K4-6:2". The record is from RNAcentral. Lineage: Eukaryota; Metazoa; Chordata; Mammalia; Primates; Hominidae.
CUGGUGAGACAGCAUGGGAAGAAAUAACACAUGGGCUUUUGUGCAGCUGGAUAUAAUGAAGGUAACCAACCCCUGCCUACAUUUUACUCUGGAUUCCAAGAGUAGACUGGGCUUCAGGGACCAGAUGCCAGGGCUGGCACAUCUGCCUAAAACCCAUAAUUCUUGAACUUGACGUGCUCAGCCUCUCCAAAGCCGCGGCGCUGACACAGCUCCCCCUGCACGAGUGUACAGCAGUCAGACAGGAACGGGGAGAGGGGGCUCAACUUUCUGACGGCCACUUAGAGGCUGCCUGACCACAAAGACAGGACUGUAAAACAUAGACCGCAUGUGACCUGCUGGUGCUCGGCACUGACCCAGGGGAGGAGGGCCACUUGGGCUGGAAUGCAGUUGCUGGGGGCUCAUGAGGGGCUCAGUGGUGCCCCUGGCCACCGAGUCAAGCAGCGUAGAUUGAUCAGAGGAGCUGAGAGCUGAGGCCCACCCUCCCCUUUCUCCUACACAUGGACACCUCUGAGUGGAAUAAGGGAAGACUGUCCUUUCUCCAAGCUUGAAGGAAGAUGACUGUGACUCUUUUCCUGGACUUCAAGGCAUCGAAGUGUCAGCUGGCUGCCAUCCCAGCGUCUGACAGGGCAGCAGGAGAAAGAGGCCACCUGUAUCAUCCACCCGUGCUGCAGCUGAAUGGGAUCGGUGCAGCAUGAUAGAGGCCAGCUGCCCCGCACCAGGUCUGCGUGUCACAGGGCAGAGUGCAUGGUCUCCCUUCACGUGCGGGGCCAGGUGACUGCACAGAGUGAUGAGCUGGGCCCACUUUCCUGCUAUUGGCCGCCAGCAAAGAAUACAAGGGGUUUCCCUUCCCUUCCCUUCCCUUCCCUUCCCUUCCCUUCCCUAUCGACAGCCUUGCAGGGUGGUGGUUUCCUUUGCCCGGAGAGUUCAGAGGCCUUAGUUCUGGAAAGCCUCCUGUGGGGAGAUGGAGUGGCGGGGAUAGGGACCAGAGCAGAGAGGGCAGCAGCAUAAACAAAGAGGAGAGGCAAACUGUUUGAGCCCAGGAGUUUGAGACCAGCCUGGGCAACAUGGUGAAACCCUGUCUCUAUAAAAAAUAUAAAACUUAGCUGGGUGUGGUGGCACAUGCCUAUGGUCCCAGGUAUCUGGAGCAUGGGGUGGUGGUGGGGUGGUGGGAGGAUCAUCUGAGCCUGGGGAGGUCGAGGCCACAGUAAGCUAGGAUUGUAUCACUGCACUCCAGCCUUGGCAACAGAGAGAGAUCUUAUCUCAGAACAAAACAAAAAAAUUGGAGAAGGGAUUUCUCUGAUUUCUCCCUUUGGGAAGGGAGGCUUGGAGGCUGCCUGGGGCUGAGCAGGGAGCACCAUGCUUGUAGGCCUUUGGGGAGGUUUCGAGGUCCAAGUGUGACUUAGAGGAACUGGGAGAUGCCAGCAGACACUGAGACCCAAAGGGGCCUGGCUUGGGACCUAUGCAGCUGUGGGAGGGGAAAGGCCCUCCCCGCUACCAGAUGCAGACUCUGGUGCCCUGAAGCCUGGCGUCUGAGCCAGAUCUGACUUUGUGUAGAAGCAUAAAAGGAGUAGGAUGUUUGUGAUGGCUGAGCGUCAUGGAGGAAUUCAUACCUGUUCCUGGAGCAAUCUAUUUUUAACCUUGUUAACCUGAACUGUACUUUAAGAUUGAAACUAAAUGCAGCCUCUUUUCUACCCAUGAUUUAUUAGACCUCCCCUUUCUAUCAAAUUAAAGCUCUGCACAAACGAAACAAUUCAUCCUCAUCUAAUUUAUAACCAUCCUCCCACACUAGGAAUAUGGAGCCAGGAAUGAGGGAGGUUCACGUGGGAGGUGGCAACUGCAGAACAGACAGCUCUUUGGAUUUCUUUAAAUUGCCAUUUAAUUCCAUCCAUCAACCCAUUUUUCUGCUGUAUACAUAGAAAAGGACAACAGCCACUCCCUCAACCAAAUAUCCCUACAUUCAGUUAAAAGCUACUCUGUACCCCAGGACAUGGGAGCAGCUCCUAUCCUUCCCAGGUGAAAAAGUGGGCUUUUUUUCCCCCUUAAGGCUAAAUAGGAUUUCUUUUCUGUUAGCUAUGGGUAGGUGACUUCUUAAUGAUCUUUAAGGAAAGAAGUCAAUACAAGGAAAAUAUCCUUUUUUAAUCCCAUUUUCCUUCUCACCCCACACUGAGCGUUACUAUAGCAACAUCUUUCCUGCUACUAGGACAGUUAAGUCCCCCUGUGAAGUUAACCGAAAGCUGCUUUUUCACUCAGAGAAUGGGCUGCUGUUCAUUGACCAGCUUUUCCUGCGUGUCUAAAUUCUUCGGUUCUCUCUGACAUGCUCAAUCUAGGGUUUCCCGCGGCUAAACCCUAAAAUUCACUUCGAAACUCCUAACAGCAGAAUUCCCCAAACCUUUUCAGAACUGAACUCAUUAGAAAUGAAUUUACAUUUUGAUUUAGUUAUAAAUAACUUUUCUUCUGUGUAUUGGUUUAAGUUUAGAAAAGGCCCCCUGUAAAGAAGACAAGUUGGAGAAUAAUCUCCCAUAUUCCUCUGCCAUCCUUUCUUUCCUUCCUUUCCUUGAGAUGGAGUCUCUCUCUGUCGCCCAGGCUGGAGUGCAGUGGAGUGAUCUCAGCUCACUGCAACCUCCGCCUCCCGGGUUCAAGCGAUGCUCCUGCCUCAGCCUCCCGAGUAGCUGGGACUACAGGCAUGCACCACCAUGCCUGGCUAAUUUUUUGUAUUUUUAGUAGACACAGCGUUUCACCGUGUAAGCUAGGAUGGUCUCGAUCUCCUGACCUCAUGAUCAGCCCGCCUCGGCCUCCCAAUGUGCUGGGAUUACAGGUAUGAGCCACCGUGGCUGGCCUCCUUUUUCUUUUAAACACAUACAUACAUAUAUGUAAAAACAAAAGAAAAUUUCAGGACCUUCCAAAUUUCACAGGCCUAGAGGAAAGUUAAGCCCUGGAAAUGGAGUUGUGAGAGCAGGCUGUUUUUUCUCUCUGGUGCGUGACCACUGCUUCCUGAUUUUUGUGUUGAGAUCUUAGACCUUAACCAGACUUAUAGCCUUCAUUCAAACCAGACUGAAUGAUGUGGGAGGUAGGGACCUUGGUCAUUGUUAUCUCUUUAUAAUAAAAUGCUAAGCAACCCCCUUAGAGUGAAGUCAACAGUAGCCAAUCAAAUCUUACAUCUGUGUGUUAGCCGUUGUAUGGAAAACACCGUGAUUCUGUUCAGCGCCUCCCUUUUGCCUCCAUAAAAGAUCUUCACUUUUCCCCACACCGUAAUAUUUCACUGGAUUCUUGGAAUAUCAGAAAUUCAUCAUUCUUUGGUGUCUGCGUAUCUCUGAAUGGCCACUCCCAUGCAGCCCUUGAAUGAAUUACUUAACUGGAUCCUAAGCAUUUUGAUUAUUUUAGAUGGACAUAUACACAUGCAUAUACACGUAUGUGUACAUACACAUAUGUAAUGAAAUUGUUCCAAAACACAGAAAAUACAAAGACUAAUGUAAUCAGGACUCACAUAUCCACAUCUUAGAUUUAAUGCUGAUUUCGGGGGGCAUUUUUGCUUCAAAUUUGUAAAAAGCAAAGGUUACAGACAUAAAGAUCUUGCGAUUCUCUUAUCCCAGUUUCUUCCGUCUUUCUUCUCUUCUUUCUCUUUCUCUGUCCCCCGAGGUAGCAUCUAUGCUGACGUUCCCGUAUAUCUUUUCCAUCCAAAUAUUUGCAUUUUUGCUACACAUUACGUGCAAGGCUUUUAUCUGCUUCCUCCUAAUUUGUGGGGGCAAGAGGCUAGACAUCUCUGGCUGGAAAGGCACUCCCUGCAGAUCUGGGAAGCCAUGAGCCACAGGAGCAUUAGCUGUUCCUCUACCCUUUCGUUUCUUUGCUGGACAAUCCUUAUAAGCUGGAGUCCAAGUUAACCUUCCCAAAUGAGUGGCACUAUUAUUUUAAAAUAAAAGCGUUCAAGGUAGAGGAUGACUUUGGGACUCUGGCAACACAGGAAGCCCAGUGUGUUCUCCCCAAGGUCACAUUAAAAAGGUGGUGCAUCUGAGAUGGUGACUGCUCAGAAUAAAGUGAUAAGGGGACAAAAGGUGGAUGGCUUACUUACAGGUGUUAUGAAUGAGACCAUCAGGGCUCGGGUAAGAACAUUGUCUGGGAUAAAUGGUUUGUGGUUAUUGAUCUGGACCAACCUGAUAGAAAAGAAGCUGUGUGUAUUAUUAUUACAAUUUCUUGGUUUAUGCUUGCAAUUUAUAAUUUGUAUGCUCAGUCAAUUCUGCCAAUAUAAAAUAGUAAUGCCCCGGUUUCAAAAUCUGAUAUUGGAUUUUGUCCCACGAUUUAGCAUGUCCUCUAAGCAAAAUAACUGUCCAACCAGAUCACUUGCCUUCAACAACUUAAAACACAAGUAACUAGGGAGAAAAACAAACAAAGAAACAUAAACUCAAAGAAGGUUUCAAGAUUGACAUAGAGAAAAAUCUUUUCUCAUCUAUCCGUAUGUACUCUCCCACUGCUCAUCGUGGGCCCCAGGGAAAGGCGAUUUUAUUCAAAGAAGGUAACUCUGAACGUACUCAGGGCCGUAAUAUGUGAAAUGUCUCCCAGUGUUUGACAAAAAGACUCUCUUUUCAUGUUCAUAUUCCAUGGAAAUCUUAAGUCAAAGCAACAAUAAAAUAAGCUGACCCAUAAGUGCACGUGUUGAAGAGGCUCAGCCAAGAAAAACUGUUUGGUAGUUGCUGAAAACUGGCAUCUAGACCUCAAAGAGGAAAUCAGAACCAAAGUGCAGACUUGUCCCACCAGAGAUGGUGGGUGUUGGACUGAGUCAGCGACAGUGAGGCACUGACUAGACUUCCGUAACCAGCCAUACUUUCUAGUUUAUAAUGACAUUCAUGGUUAUUGUUCUACACAGACAGGUGUAGGGAAGCAAUGGGAAAGUGCAGGAAAACAGAAGCAUUGGGAAUGGAACAUCUUUGGUUUCUCCAUUUCAAUGCACUGCCAUGACCCCCACACCCACCCACGAGACUUUAGCUGUUCCAGAGCCAACGGUGCCUGCCUCUUUGCUGAUCCAUUACUCAUUCUCCCUACAGCUGCCUCAUAGCUUUGGCUCCCAAGAGGUAAGGUACAGGUAGUCUGGCUGCCUGCAUUAUCCUCCAGCCUCAAAAUACAUGGGGAACUGAAAAUAAACAAACUGUUGAUUCCUUGAGCUUAAGAAGGCCUCUUGGUGUUCCUUUAUACCUUUUCGAGUCUCUCCUAAGAUCAGAG